AUUCGCUUUAGUAUUAACAUAUGAGAAUGGAGAGAAAAGUUUAGUUUAUUACAGUACACUCAAGUAUUGUCAUAAUUGAGAGAAAUAAUACUGAAAUAGUACAUAUUUAAUUAAAGAUGAUAGAAUUACGUAUUACGUUUGAAGGUUAUGAAGAUGAAGAAAGAAUUAUCUGGCCGGAAGUUGAAGCAAACAACUUUUUGACACGAAAACAAUAUUCGACGCAACAAAACAACGAAUUUGAUAGCAGUAACGUCUUUUUCCAAUACUAAAUUCGACAUACAGAGUUGGAAGGAAAUGUUUACUGGUAUAUUGUACUAAUAUUGGACUUUUAUGUACAUUCGCAUGACAUUUUGAUAUAAUUAUUUACUGCACCAAGUAUUUGUAGGAAAAGAAACACAACUUUGUUAGUAUGUUUCUAAACAUGUAUGUUCUAUUUUGUGAGAGAUAAGUGUGUUAUAUUUUUAUAGUUUUAAGUCAAAUUUUAAAGAAACAUUAAAAUGUGAAUUUCAAUAUGACAAGUUAUCGUAAUUAAUGUUAUCGUAAAUUACAUAAUAGGAUGGAAACAUACAGUAAGAAAAAUAUCUUUUCACUUUUUGUUAAUGAAAUUGUUAUAUUUACUUCAUAUUGAUUCAUUUGUAAGCACAUUAACUAUAGUUAAAGGCUUGUCGAUUAACAACUCACGUUUUAGAAAAUAAUGUAUUCCUUUAAUAAUUGUUAGGUAUAUUCAUAGAUUUACGAUUACAAUAUCUUCAACUCUCAGUAAUAAUGACCAUAUUUGUAGUAAAGGUUUCGUAUCCAAAAGCUACUGAUAAAUGUUUAUAGUUUCAUAGUCACAUAUGGUUAUUAUAUUAUAUAUGUAUAGAGCGUUAGAAGAAUGUAUUUUUUUAUAAUCUCCACCUAAAUUGUACGCUAUGAAUAGGAGAAAAUGUAAUUUUUAAUCAGUAACAUGUAAAUAAUUUAUUGAUAUUUACCAGAAAUAUAUCUUAAACACAAUAAAAGGAAUGCAUAAUAUUAGUAUUAUUUCAAUUAAUUACGUUGAAUAAAAGUUUCACGUGUUAAAGGCUUCCGGUCAAAUAUAAUAAUGUUUCGAAUACAUUUCUACGUUUCUUUUCGUAAAUUUCUAUUUAUACAUGACAGUAAAGCUAGAUAUCGUAUAAGAAACAUACAUUUUUCCGUUUUCUUCUUGUUUUGCAUUAUUUUACUUCGUACGAAAUGCGAUUAAUUACAUAAUUCAAUUUUAUGACAGGGAAAAAGGAGUCUACAAAUUUCUAUAUAGGAUGACUUAUUGAAGAAAAUAAUAUCAAAUUUGUAAGUAUAUAUAAUCCUAGAGGGUAUCACAUUAAUUUACAACCGAAUAUGUGAUUCAAUAUUUGGCACGAUGAUUUGUUUGCUCUAAUUUCUGUAUAAUAAUGACACAAGUACUUUAUGUAAUUUUCAAAAUUAUUAGUGUUAAUUAAUCCUUAUUUUAGGAUAGAGUUCCACAUCACACAGUCUUUCGCACCUUAUUCGUAUUGGUCAAGCAGUUACCUAUUUCUUUAUUCUUAAAUACAUAUACAAUAUUUACAUGAUCUUCAUAAACAUUCUUUCUUCACUUUUCCAAGGCAAUGGUUGUGGGAGAUAAAACUAUAUGAAGAAAUUUUCCUCUUCUGGUCUAUCGUAAGAUUUUGUGUACAUUAAUCUUUAUAUAGAAAUAAAUCGAAAGUGAAAAAUUAUUAUCUUGGAAACUUAAAGUAUGAUAAUUUAUGAAAAUAUAAAGAGAAAUUAAUUUCUGAGUCGUCUUAUAUGCGUAAAAGAUAUUUGAUUAAACAUUUUGCUAAAUGUAAGUUAGAGGACUUAACGAAAGUUGGUUUAAUAAUUUUAUUGGAAAUAAUAUGACAAUAAAGAAGAAAUUUACAAUCAGAAAUUAUUUAUUGCAAAAAGAAUUGAUUGCAAAAUGGAACAUAAAGCUUAUGUAUAUAGGAUACUUUCUCAGUUAAAAAAAGAUGAUAAAUAAUUAAUUUCAUUAUCAACAAUAUGGAUGUACUUUCAUUUAAAAAUCCUGUACACGAUAAAAUCGUGAAAUCGAUGUGUAUUUAGAUUUGAAAUGGAAUAUUUUCUCUACUCAAUUUGAAAUAAAUCAAAUUCUCUUCCUCUUCUUCUACCAAAUUUCAUACAAGUUCAGAUAUCAUAUUGUACAUUAUUUAGAUGUUCCUAAAGCUAUCAUCAAUUUCAGCAUAAGUUUCGCUAGUAUCAUCGUUAAUUUUGACAUCGUUCCACUUUUAAUACACGAUAAUUAAUUUAUUAGGUUUCCUAUCGAAACACAAAAAGCAGUAACAUUUAUAGCAUUUCAGCAAAUACAGACCAAUUUACGAUACAAAGAGGAUGUGUACCACAUGUACAGAGGAUUAUGAAAAAUCAAUUUAUUCUUUUCAAACAUCUAGUACCGAUUGCGAAUCAUUGAUUCAUAAAAAAUGAGUAUACAUAAAUAUUUGGCUGACAUAAAAAGUACAUAUAAUCCUAUCAUGUAAUAUGUUUAUGUAGUUUGUAUUUUAAAGCACAGAAAAUUAAUGUUUCUCUGUUGGCCAUUGCAGCGACCGCUUUUUUAUAACAUUGUGGAAAAAUGCACAAUACAUAUUAACGGUCGACGUGUUGGAGUUACACCAUACCUUGACUACUACAAAUAAAAAUACCAGAAAUUGCACCCUUAGAUGAACACUCGAAGCAAAUUCUUCAAACCAAAAUAACCGGCAGAUGUAUAAAUGAAUAAUCCAAAACUGUCAGUGAAAUUCAAAAUUUGUUGAAAAAGAAUACAGCAAAUUAUGCGAUCAAAGUAUCAAACCUUAGCUUUCUAUUACUUCAAGCCAUCCAUCAGGCAAGUGCUGAAUUUCAUCAGCGAAAAAUGCUGUGUCCUCGGACCAGAUCCGAUCGUUGUGUCAUUUUUCUGUCUCAUCCGCUAAUUGAAACUUUGUAUCACGUGCGUAAGGCGUGCUGCAUCUAUCAGAACCGAUGGUAAUCCGAAGAAAUAAUAUCUAGCGAAUAAGCUAGCUGCUGCAGGAUGUCCCGAAAAGAUGCAGCCAAGUCAGUAGCGAUGAAUUGCUCUAAAAUUCCCAUUAGAAAUCUCAAGGAACACGUUAAGACGGUAGCAAGAGGAAACACCUACGACAUCGUCGCCGAAGAAGACUUAGGAUUCAACUGUGUUUAAUUGCCAAAGGAUUUAAUUGUUUUUCCACAUUUCCAUGACCAAAUCAUAGUAUGCGGAGGAAAACUAAAAACGAGAAAUUAUAAUGGCAACCAAUAGGUGUAGGUCAGGCCAUUACAACCUGGGCAUCUCAUCAGCCCGGACAGGUAUAAUAAGCGACCCUAAGUGCCAGUGUGGUCAUGAAAAGUCAGGAUUGAUAGAUCAUGUAUUGUGACAAUACCAUUUUUGUUACUAUUUAAUUAAUUAACUAUUUACCGAACCGAGAACAGUCUUCAUUAGAGAACUCCAGAAAGUGAAUUACUGUCUUCCAUUCUCACGUAACGUAGUACUGAACAAUCACGCAAUAGCCAUUUGCAAAGUCAUACACUCGUCCUUGAAAAGCUGUAACAUAUCGAUCUGAUUAUAAUAUAUUGAAUAUUAUCAAUUUAUUAAUAUUAAGAUAUGAAUAUUCCAAGUUCAUAUACGUAAACUACAUGCAAUGUAAGCAACGCAAAUAAUCUCGGUGGGGACUAAAUUGCUUGAAUAGGAAAAGGAAACAUGUCCCAUCCGAGACUGCUCAUGAUGUGUUUCGUCGCGGAAGCAGCAGAACUGCGCAGAACGUUGUCCUUUAUCAGUGUCCUGACGAUCGGAUCUUCUAUGAUGAAUGUAAAUUCUAUAAUGAAUCUAUAAUGAAUCUAAAGACACAUUUUCCCGUGAUGGAAUUCAUCACUUGCCUAAAUAGGUGGCUUGAAGUUAUAAAAGGCAGCGACAAAUACUUUGAUUGAACUACUUGCGGCAUUUUAUCGAUAUACAACUCUGAGCUUUGGACUUUGAGCACCGAAGAUCAUUCAUUUCAUUGGAUUAUUCAUUUGUACACUUAUUAUUAACCCUACUUUGCGUUCCUCGGCUCAUCUUCGUCUCGAUCCUGUAUACUUCCAGCGUUAAGAAGUUUCCUCAGUUCAGAGGAAAUAUGAAGAAACAAUCGUUACUGAUAUGCAAAUUCCUUCUUUGAAUAUUGUGUUACAAAUUUUCCUAGAACGUUAAAAGCGUUCGUAUCUGUCGACAUAGGGACGAGAACCUCGGUAAAAAUCGGAGAACCGCAGUAGGGUUAAUAAUAGGUCAGAGAAACUUAAACAAAUAUGAAUAUACUUAUUACGUGAUCCGUAUAUUCUUUCUCCAAAGAUGAUCUAUCUUGCGAAGAAUAUCGGAUCAGGUAGGCAAAUUAAAUUAAUAUACGUAACUAUACGAAGUUUUAAUUAGUCAUUGCAUUCAGCAUAGUUUACAAGAUAUACGUAUAUGCUGAUGCUGAUACAAAGCGCACAAUUUGUCUUGUUUUGCUUAUUCGAUUGUACGGAAUGAUCAAGAGCUUCGUUAUAACAUUUCGCUUGUUAAAAGAAUUAUAAACGAGUCCAUAUGUUGAUCAGAUUCUAUAGAAACUAUAUUUCUAUGAACGCUGUUGUAGUUGUAAUUUUAAGUUUCUGAAACUAUUUAAAAUACUUUAUUUAGUACGUAGAUAGAAUCGGAUCUUAAUAGGUAGCUACUUAAUUAACAAAACAGUUUUAGAUACAUGACAGAUUUUUAUAAUGAGAUAUCGAGAAUUAAUAAAUGAAUUAACUAUAUAAUAUGCGUGUUUCGUAAAAUAUUAUCACUGUAUGACUCCUUUGUAUAUUUGAGAGUUACAAAGGCUCUGCCCACUUCAACUCCGAUCCACUGCGUUCGCAGCGUGGCAGAAAUUGCAAUCGUCAGUUAACUUAGUAUACUUGAGAAAUCUGACUAUUUAACAUCACGUAUUAUCAUCAUAGCGUUAUAGUAGAAACUAUUCUUAAUGCAUCGGAAUUAUGAAUGCAUUAUGAGCAAACAACGAUAAUAUUCUUCUUUGAGUUAUUGCUAUGUUAAUUACGAUUCGACAAAUGUUUAACCAACCUAACUAGCACGAUGCGACCAGCUAUACAAAAAUUUGGAGAUACAUUUCAUGUACUGUAUCUGAACACAGGAUCCAAUAGUAUCAAAUAUUUAAGCCUUUACGCUAUACAUAGCAUAUAUGUAUAUCUGAAUCAAAAGACGGCCAACACAUUUACGAUUGUUAAAUUUUAGAUGAUUCUGCCUUUUAAAUUUUAGAUGAUCCGCGCAAAGUAUUGCAAGUUAUCUUCUCGAGGAUUAAUAGAAGGAAAUAUUUUAUCGAACGUUUAAUGAUUCACCGAAUACUUUCAGAGAACGACCGAGUUCUCCAAAGAGUGAAACGGACGUUCUUUUCCAUUUCCUGUUUCUUCGACUUAAGAAAAGAUUUCAGAAAACGGAAUACUGCUGUACUAUAGGACAGUAUCGAAGUAGCUUUGUGGAAAUUUACAAUUUUUCGACAUUACCUAAGUUGCUAAGUAUAAUACGUACUAUUGGACAUACAUACAUACAGAAACUUUUACUGGUUUUAAAAUGUAUCGUUAUAUCGCUGUUUCAUAUCUUGUGUUUCGCAAUUUAUGGAAAAAUGAAAUUUGUUAUAGUCCUAGGAACAUUUCUUAUACUUCUAAAUAACGCAUCACUCAUCGUCGGUGUAUAAAUUAUAGUGAACACAUAAAAUGAGAAACAGAUGAUACGAUAUAUGAAUUUCUCUUAUUUUCUAUGUAAUGAAGGACAGUUAUAAGAAUUGUAACAAUGAUAAUUCACAAGUGUGGAAACAGUUGUUGUUAUAAAUCUCAUAAAACAGCAUUUUAAACAUUUGCUAAAAUCAAAUUCAAAUUAACCACCCUUUCAUUCUUUCAAUUAUUUAUAGAAUGAAAUUAUUACAAAUUAAUACACGUGAAAAUGUCUAUAUCAUUUCAUUAAGGAAAAAACUAAACUUACAAUACUCCUACUCGUCCUACUAUUCUUCUCUAUACUUAUAUACAAUCCUUCACCUUGACUUUUGCUACCUCAGCGUCUAAAGUACAAUAGGUGAAAACGACAUAACGAGGUCAUAAAAUAAAGCAUCAAAUAGGUUCACCAGUUGAUCUGGAUGCAACUAGUGUGCCACACGCACACACGUUUUUUAAAACCAGUUUCCAUCAUCAUUCAGUUCAACGUUUCAUACGAUGAGUCAUAAAACCGGAAUAGAAGUUAUAAAUAGAGAGACACGUUUUUUUUUUUAGAGAGGAAGAAAUAGUUUUCCAGUUGAUAUCGCCUGUCUAUUGAUCCAGACGCAACUAGUGGGUGUGUAUGCUGCACAGAGGAAGAAGUAGUUCUAAGAGUUGAUAUCCCCUGCCUGACCAUAAACGAAGCCCUAGGGUCCUUACGAGCCCAAUACAUUUCAAGUUAUUGAUGGCGGUUAUCAAAACUGUAAACUUUAAC
This is a long non-coding RNA of Bombus pyrosoma, 6478 nucleotides long. RefSeq lists it as uncharacterized. The record is from RefSeq and is a predicted model, not a curated record. The transcript has 3 exons. Lineage: Eukaryota; Metazoa; Arthropoda; Insecta; Hymenoptera; Apidae.